GCCUGCGCCGCCCAGCCCCGCGCCUGGCGUGCCUCCGCCGUCGCCUGCGCCGCCCAGCCCCUCGCCUGGCGUGCCUCCGCCGUCGCCUGCGCCGCCCAGCCCCUCGCCUGGCGUGCCUCCGCCAUCGCCCGAGCCGCCCAGCCCCGCGCCUGGCGUGCCUCCGCCGUCGCCCGAGCCGCCCAGCCCCGCGCCUGGCGUGCCUCCGCCAUCGCCUGAGCCGCCCAGCCCCGCGCCUGGCGUGCCUCCGCCAUCGCCCGAGCCGCCCAGCCCCGCGCCUGGCGUGCCUCCGCCGUCGCCUGCGCCGCCCAGCCCCUCGCCUGGCGUGCCUCCGCCAUCGCCCGAGCCGCCCAGCCCCGCGCCUGGCGUGCCUCCGCCGUCGCCCGAGCCGCCCAGCCCCGCGCCUGGCGUGCCUCCGCCGUCGCCCGAGCCGCCCAGCCCCGCGCCUGGCGUGCCUCCGCCAUCGCCUGAGCCGCCCAGCCCCGCGCCUGGCGUGCCUCCGCCGUCGCCCGAGCCGCCCAGCCCCGCGCCUGGCGUGCCUCCGCCGUCGCCUGCGCCGCCCAGCCCCGCGCCUGGCGUGCCUCCGCCGUCGCCUGCGCCGCCCAGCCCCGCGCCUGGCGUGCCUCCGCCGUCGCCCGAGCCGCCCAGCCCCGCGCCUGGCGUGCCUCCGACGUCGCCUGCGCCGCCCAGCCCCGCGCCUGGCGUGCCUCCGCCGUCGCCUGCGCCGCCCAGCCCUGCCCCCGGCGUGCCUCCGCCGUCGCCCGAGCCGCCCAGCCCCGCGCCUGGCGUACCUCCGCCGUCGCCUGCGCCGCCCAGCCCCGCGCCUGGCGUACCUCCGCCGUCGCCUGCGCCGCCCAGCCCUGCCCCCGGCGUGCCUCCGCCGUCGCCUGCGCCGCCCAGCCCCGCGCCUGGCGUGCCUCCGCCUUCGCCCGAGCCGCCCAGCCCCGCGCCUGGCGUGCCUCCGCCAUCG
RNAcentral lists this long non-coding RNA (967 nucleotides) under Chlamydomonas reinhardtii. RNAcentral describes it as "long non-coding RNA (CREI_LNC000068)". The record is from RNAcentral. Lineage: Eukaryota; Viridiplantae; Chlorophyta; Chlorophyceae; Chlamydomonadales; Chlamydomonadaceae.